RNAcentral lists this non-coding RNA (24 nucleotides) under Rattus norvegicus (Norway rat). The record is from RNAcentral. Lineage: Eukaryota; Metazoa; Chordata; Mammalia; Rodentia; Muridae.
CUCUGUCCAAAUCUCACGCUCUUG